AAUGUCUGGGAAACUGCCUGAUGGAGGGGGAUAACUACUGGAAACGGUAGCUAAUACCGCAUAACGUCGCAAGACCAAAGAGGGGGACCUUCGGGCCUCUUGCCAUCGGAUGUGCCCAGAUGGGAUUAGCUAGUAGGUGGGGUAACGGCUCACCUAGGCGACGAUCCCUAGCUGGUCUGAGAGGAUGACCAGCCACACUGGAACUGAGACACGGUCCAGACUCCUACGGGAGGCAGCAGUGGGGAAUAUUGCACAAUGGGCGCAAGCCUGAUGCAGCCAUGCCGCGUGUAUGAAGAAGGCCUUCGGGUUGUAAAGUACUUUCAGCGGGGAGGAAGGGAGUAAAGUUAAUACCUUUGCUCAUUGACGUUACCCGCAGAAGAAGCACCGGCUAACUCCGUGCCAGCAGCCGCGGUAAUACGGAGGGUGCAAGCGUUAAUCGGAAUUACUGGGCGUAAAGCGCA
Molecule: ribosomal RNA, 461 nt
Filed under: Escherichia coli
Lineage: Bacteria; Pseudomonadati; Pseudomonadota; Gammaproteobacteria; Enterobacterales; Enterobacteriaceae
Description: bacterial SSU rRNA
Rfam family: Bacterial small subunit ribosomal RNA
Source: RNAcentral